RNAcentral lists this ribosomal RNA (412 nucleotides) under uncultured bacterium. RNAcentral's name for it is "bacterial SSU rRNA". It matches the Rfam family "Bacterial small subunit ribosomal RNA", at positions 29 to 482 of the family's 1533-position model. The record is from RNAcentral.
AGCGAACGCUGGCGGCAGGCUUAACACAUGCAAGUCGAGCGCCCGUAGCAAUACGGGGGCGGCAGACGGGAGAGUAACACGUGGGAACAUACCUUUUGGUUCGGAACAACCCAGGGAAACUUGGGCUAAUACCGGAUAAGCCCUUACGGGGAAAGGAUUUAUCGCCGAAAGAUUGGCCCGCGUCUGAUUAGCUAGUUGGUGAGGUAACGGCUCACCAAGGCUACGAUCAGUAGCUGGUCUGAGAGGAUGAUCAGCCUCACUGGGACUGAGACACGGCCCAGACUCCUACGGGAGGCAGCAGUGGGGAAGUAUUGGACAAUGGGCGCAAGCCUGAUCCAGCCAUGCCGCGUGAGUGAUGAAGGCCUUAGGGUUGUAAAGCUCUUUUAGCGGGGAAGAUAAUGACGGUACCCGC